Molecule: long non-coding RNA, 286 nt
Filed under: Helianthus annuus (common sunflower)
Lineage: Eukaryota; Viridiplantae; Streptophyta; Magnoliopsida; Asterales; Asteraceae
Description: sRNA HanXRQr2_Chr11g0476791
Source: RNAcentral
AUGUCGUACUGGCGGACAUUGUGCGAAUCUUCAUCAGAGCCCAUGUACAAGUACAACUUGGAGAAAAUGUAUAACCGACUCGUGGUUGCCAACCGAGAAAGUAAGUGUCUAUGAUUACGUCUACGAAAACUGGCUCAAAGACUAUAAAGAAAUGUUCGUUUAUGCGUGGACCGAUAAGUGUCGCAACUUUGGUCAGCGCACCACCAACAGAGUUGAGAGCCAGCACGCAAAUUUAAAAAGAUACAUUACGCGCGGGAGUUCAUUGGAGCGAAUAGCAAGAUGCAUC